This 565-nucleotide ribosomal RNA is filed under the name uncultured bacterium. Its description in RNAcentral is "bacterial SSU rRNA". It matches the Rfam family "Bacterial small subunit ribosomal RNA", at positions 82 to 646 of the family's 1533-position model. The record is from RNAcentral.
UAGCAAUAUCAUAGUGGCGCACGGGUGCGUAACACGUAUGCAACCUACCUUAUACUGAGGGAUAGCCUUUCGAAAGGGAGAUUAAUACCUCAUAACACAUUGAACUGGCAUCAGUUUAUUGUUAAAGAUUUAUUGGUAUAAGAUGGGCAUGCGUCCAAUUAGUUAGUUGGCGAGGUAACGGCUCACCAAGACGAUGAUUGGUAGGGGAACUGAGAGGUUAAUCCCCCACACUGGCACUGAGAUACGGGCCAGACUCCUACGGGAGGCAGCAGUAGGGAAUAUUGGGCAAUGGAGGCAACUCUGACCCAGCCAUGCCGCGUGCAGGAAGAAGGCGUUAUGCGUUGUAAACUGCUUUUAUAUAGGAAGAAAUAGACCUUGCGAGGUAAGUUGACGGUACUAUAUGAAUAAGCACCGGCUAACUCCGUGCCAGCAGCCGCGGUAAUACGGAGGGUGCAAGCGUUGUCCGGAUUUAUUGGGUUUAAAGGGUGCGUAGGCGGUUUAUUAAGUCGGUGGUGAAAGACGGUCGCUCAACGAUUGCAGUGCCAUUGAUACUGGUAGACUUGAG